Molecule: transfer RNA, 85 nt
Filed under: Candidatus Parcubacteria bacterium
Lineage: Bacteria; Candidatus Parcubacteria
Description: tRNA-Ser
Rfam family: tRNA
About the family: Transfer RNA (tRNA) molecules are approximately 80 nucleotides in length. Their secondary structure includes four short double-helical elements and three loops (D, anti-codon, and T loops).
Source: RNAcentral
GGAGGGGUGGCCGAGUGGUUUAAGGCAACGGUCUUGAAAACCGUCAUACCGAAAGGUAUCGUGAGUUCGAAUCUCACCCCCUCCG